Orcinus orca (killer whale) is the source of this 4047-nucleotide long non-coding RNA. RefSeq lists it as uncharacterized. NCBI's taxonomy places the organism in Eukaryota, Metazoa, Chordata, Mammalia, Artiodactyla, Delphinidae. The transcript is spliced from 14 exons. The record is from RefSeq and is a predicted model, not a curated record.
CAGCGGCCAUGGCUCAUGGGCCCAGCCGCUCCGCGGCAUGUGGGAUCUUCCCGGACUGGGGCACGAACCCGUGUCCCCUGCAUCGGCAGGCGGACUCUCAACCACUGGGCCACCAGGGAAGCCUUGUCUUUAUGUCCUGAUGUCAGAGUUUUGCUAUCAGAGUAAUGUGGUCCUCAUAAAAUGGGGAAUAUUCUCUCCUUUUCAAUUUUUUGGAAAGAGUUUAUGUUUAAUGGUAAUAUUUCUUCCUUAUAUAUUUGGUAGAAUUUAUCAGUGAAGUGAUCUGGGCCUGGAGUUUUCUUUGUGGAAUGGCUGAGCUGUUAACUACAAAUUAACAUGCAUUCCAUUCUCAUAGGGCGAAGUGGUCUAUAAAUGCCGAUUAGGUCAAGUUGGUUGAUAAUGUUGUUAAGAUCCUCUGUAUCCUUAGUGAUGAUGUUCUGUUUACAUAUUCUAUUAAUUUUGAGAGAAGGAUAUUGCAGUCUCUUACUGAAAUUGUGGAUUUCUCUCUUUUUCUUUGUAGCUUUAUCAGUUUUUGCUUCAUGUAUAUUGAAGUCAUAUUAUUAGAUGAAAGAACAUUUAAGCUUGCUGUGUCCUCUUAAUGAGGCUAUGUUGUUUUGCUUUUUUGCGUGUUUGGCAAUUUUUUAUUGUAUGUUAGACAUCUCAACAUUGUGGUUUUCAUUUCUAAAAGUUUGACAUAGAUCAUUUUUACACAGAAUUGAAUGUUUGAUUUUGUUGUGUUUCUUUAAACAGUGGUGUUUAAACACCUAAGUGGUUAUUCAGAGUACACAGAAGUUCUAAAAGUUAUUAUUAUAAUAGCCAUCUUCACACAUGCCUGAGCAAGUAUGUAAAGUUUAUAUACAAUGAGUAACAUAUGAUCUUAAUUUGAGAGGAUUUGUAAUAAUCUUGAUGAAAAUAAAAAGAUAUGUUUUUGUUUUUGUUUUUGAGGUACGCGGGCCUCUCACUGUUGUGGCCUCUCCCGUUGCGGAGCACAGGCUCCGGACGCGCAGGCUCAGUGGCCAUGGCUCACGGGCCCAGCCGCUCUGCGGCAUGUGGGAUCUUCCCGGACUGGGGCACGAACCCAUGUCACCUGCAUUGGCAGGCGGACUCUCAACCACUGCGCCACCAGGGAAGCCCGAAGAUAUGGUUUUGAAAUGAAUUUAAGAUACGAAUAAUACAUUCAAGAAGCCAAAGGAGAAACAACAAUUUUUCAUUCUAUACCACAUUUACUUUUGAGUAUUUAAUCAUAUUUAAAUGAAAUCUAAAUGAAAAAUUUUUAAAUAUAAACAAUUAAACAUUUCUUCAGCAUAUACUAUAUUCAAGGCAGUGUGGUAUGAGCCAAAAAAGGAAGACAUAAUAUGUCCUGGUUUUGAGAAAUUUAUUGGGUUGGCCAAAAAGUUAAUUUGGGUUUUCCCGUAAGAUGUAAUACUCUUUGGUUGGGGAAAUAAGACAGAAAAAAAGGCAAGUAGUGUCAAAUGAGUAUAAGUACUAUUAGUAUAACUUGGUCUCUGUUGUCUGUAGAGAACUCAAAAUUUUUAAUAUACAUUAUAUCUACAAGGGUCCAAUGGGAGUCAGUUAUGUUAGGACUGUCUCAGGACCCUAAACAACACAAAGCAUGAUACCCCAAAGCCCCCAUUGCUGAAUGCCAUUCUCCUUCAAAAAGUGUUGUUGUUCUCAGUGGCAUCCUGUCUACUAUUCCUGGGAAAAGAGAGACUAAGUUUGUCAGACAGAAGCUGCAUCCUAACUCUCUCUCCUAGCUUGUGCUUCAGACAUCCACCGGCUUGCACUGGGUAACACCCUUUGUUUGAUUAAUCCACUUCUAAAUCACUUAUCUGCAGCCUUUCUGUAUGAAGACUUAAGGGGCUCCAGGGCAACUGAAACUACAGAGGUGUGGCUCUACAGGAGCAGAAACCGUGAGACCGAGAAGUUUGUGAACAAUGGGCUGGGUCCCGUUCAGUCCUUUCAUCCUGGUACAGUUGCCCAUAGAGAAGGAACCUUGUUCUUAAAAUGGCAGUGAAAUUCAUUGAACAUGAAUUCCCAGAGGAUAGGAGAAAUGGGCCAGACUUCUCCUACAAAUAAAGAAACAGAAAAAGAAAGAAGUAAAAUGACAUUUCCCACAUCACUCUGUUGGCAUGUUACAGGGCAAAGGUCUUUCAGGACACCCGAGAAGAAACAUUUCUCAACGUUGUUCAUCAGCUGCCUUCUGUCUCAGCUGCCUCUGGGAUAAUCCUCUCCCUGUGUGAGGGCUGACCUGGAGAGCAGUGCUGAGCCUCUGAUCAGACGCUAUCCCACGGAUGCUCAGGGAACAGAAUCCCACUGAAUGGAGCAUAGAUGUUUCUGAAGGUCUGAGGAUCUGUGCCCUUCUUCAGCCAAGGACUGCUGGUGGGAAUGUCAACUGAAGACCUCGAGCAGGAAGCCUUUGUUACUUGAGUUUUUUAGGCAAGAAACAAUGAAAAAUUACUGUAUCCACUUCAAGAAAUGAAUAACAGAAAUGGAAAACUGAUCGUAACAAAUUGAAUGCAGAAUACUAAAGCGUAGUAUUCGUGAAUAAUGAAUAUCUGCAUGUUGUCUAGAGAAAGGGGAAUGAGAAUGAAGUCCCCGACUCUCAUUCUUUUUUUGUCUUUUAGCAUCAGCAGGGCCAGGAAGAGGAUCAUUAACAGGAAGGUGGAACACUCACAGUUAACCCCCAGGAACAGAAUCUAGGAUUUCCCAGGAAGGCAUUAUUAGCCUUCUUUCCUGCAGACAUUGUGGUGCAUCUUGGGAAGAGAAACUCAAAUUAGCUACCAAAAGCUAUGUCCUAUGGUUUUAUUGAAAGAGAAUACUGAUCAGCCCAGGGAAAAUAAUAUUCUUGAGAAUUGCACAUCUUGGAACUGAAGAAAAUGAGAAAUUGGAGGGAAACUAUCCAUGAGAUAUUGGACUGCUGUCUCUGACGAUGUUCCAGUGCCCCCUGAGGGCUUCUGCGUGUAAUAAAAGCAAACGAAAAAGCGGCUUUGUAUGAAAUAAUUCACUAUGCAGGAACAAAGCUGAAUAUGGGACUCAAAGGAUCUCUGAAGUAAAGAUUAACCGCCAGUCAUCAGGAAACCUAAAGUCAUUUGAAAUAAGAGGUGCCACAAGCCAGAAGACAGAAGCCAUAAACACAUACAAUAUUAAUAAAGCAAUUACAGAAAUAUUAUACUGAGGGGAAGCUAUAUCUCAUGAUGGAAGAAAUACAGGAAUCACCCCGUUGAAAUCGGUGAGGGAGAUGAAGCUGCAGUUCUGUGCUCCCAGACCCGCCCAGCAGAUGGCACCUUCCCCGUGGAGACCUAAGUUUUCACACUAUCUGGCUGAAAUCCUCCUUCAACUUCAUAUCGGGCUGCAGACCAUCUCUUCCUGAAAGCCCACCAGAUCAUCAAAUUCAGCACGUUCCAGAUGGCGCGGAGGAUCUGCUGCCAGGGUAUUUGCCUUGUGGCCAGGAUUGGUGUCAUACGUUGGAUAUCUCCGAAAUAACCAAUACAUGGCUUCUCAGAAGCUGAAGGGUCUCCCUCAUUAGAGAGCCCUGUGAAGGAUACUCGGAGCUCCGCCUCCCAGCUUCCUGUUUCAAACCUGCUGCGUACGGCUGCCAACAGAACGGAGUGUGAUAAGGACCCUCAAACAGCCCAGUGAAGAGGUCCAUAUGGCAAAAAACUGAGGCCUUCUGCCAAAAGCAUGUGAAUGAAUCAUCUUUGUAGUGGAUCUUCCAACCCUACUCAAGCCUGCAGGUAACUUCAACCCAAGGUGAUGUGUUGCCGUGCAGCCUCAUGAGAGAGACUGAGCCAGAAGCACUAAGGUCCGUUUCAUUCUACGGGAAUCAAAGAUGCAACUGACAGCACGUGGCAUAUCAUUUUUAUGCGGGCCUCUCACUGUUGUGGCCUCUCCCAUUGCAGAACACAGGUUACGGACGUGCAGGCUCAGCGGCCAUGGCUCACGGGCGCAGCCGCUCCGCGGCAUGUGAGAUCUUCCUGGACCGGGGCACGAACCCGCGUCCCCUGCAUCGGCAGGUGGACUCUCAGCCACUGCGCCACCAGGGAAACCCCA